GUCGGGAUAGCUCAGUUGGUAGAGCAGAGGACUGAAAAUUCUCGUGC
RNAcentral lists this transfer RNA (47 nucleotides) under Orobanche alba. RNAcentral describes it as "partial tRNA-Phe". It matches the Rfam family "tRNA", at positions 1 to 46 of the family's 71-position model. Rfam says of the family: Transfer RNA (tRNA) molecules are approximately 80 nucleotides in length. Their secondary structure includes four short double-helical elements and three loops (D, anti-codon, and T loops). Further hydrogen bonds mediate the characteristic L-shaped molecular structure. tRNAs have two regions of fundamental functional importance: the anti-codon, which is responsible for specific mRNA codon recognition, and the 3' end, to which the tRNAs corresponding amino acid is attached (by aminoacyl-tRNA synthetases). tRNAs cope with the degeneracy of the genetic code in two manners: having more than one tRNA (with a specific anti-codon) for a particular amino acid; and 'wobble' base-pairing, i.e. permitting non-standard base-pairing at the 3rd anti-codon position. The record is from RNAcentral. Lineage: Eukaryota; Viridiplantae; Streptophyta; Magnoliopsida; Lamiales; Orobanchaceae.